RNAcentral lists this long non-coding RNA (537 nucleotides) under Monodelphis domestica (gray short-tailed opossum). RNAcentral's name for it is "lncRNA (ENSMODG00000042921.1)". Lineage: Eukaryota; Metazoa; Chordata; Mammalia; Didelphimorphia; Didelphidae. The record is from RNAcentral.
CUUCAGACAAGACAGUCUCAAGUUAAAAAUUACCAAUACUCACCUACAAAAUGUGGCAUGGAGCUGCUAGUACCUUCCUCUCUAAAAUAAUCUUCCAUCAGAGCUGCGUGUACCAUGUAUGUUACCAUUUAUGUACAUGUCAUCUCCCUCUUCAGAAGUAAAGUGAACUGGAGAAGGAAAUAGCAGACCACUUCAGCAUCUUUGCCAAGCAAACCCCAACUGGGAUCUUGAGGAGUCAAGCAUGACUUUAAAUGACUGAAUAACAGCAACAACAAAAUGUACUCUACAUGUAUGUAUAUGUAGAAGCAUGUGUGUAAACAAAUAUGUGUAUGCAUAUGUACACAUCCAUAUAAUUGUGUUUCCAGCAAGAAUGCAUAUUUUUGUUUUCCAAGACUGUUUAUAAUUGGCUUUCAAUAGGGCUUGUUUAAAAGUAGUUCAUGAGGGAGAAACAUCUUUAUAAAGGGCACAGGUUACUCAAGUAUAGGAAAUGCCACUCUGCAUUUCAUAUGUUCCAUUAGUAUAUUUUGUCUUCCAGAA